Molecule: transfer RNA, 73 nt
Filed under: Actinotignum schaalii
Lineage: Bacteria; Bacillati; Actinomycetota; Actinomycetes; Actinomycetales; Actinomycetaceae
Also listed under: 10 other names
Description: tRNA-Arg (TCT) (tRNA-Arg-TCT-1-1)
Rfam family: tRNA
About the family: Transfer RNA (tRNA) molecules are approximately 80 nucleotides in length.
Source: RNAcentral
GCCCCUGUAGCUCAGUGGAUAGAGCACCGGACUUCUAAUCCGUCGGUCGAAGGUUCGAAUCCUUUCGGGGGCG